Molecule: ribosomal RNA, 869 nt
Filed under: uncultured archaeon
Lineage: Archaea
Description: bacterial SSU rRNA
Rfam family: Archaeal small subunit ribosomal RNA
Source: RNAcentral
GAUAACCCCGGGAAACUGGGUAUAAUACCCGAUAGGUCUCGAUUGCUGGAAUGCAUCGAGAUUUAAAGCUCCGGCGCCUAAGGAUGGGUCUGCGGCCUAUCAGGUAGUAGUGGGUGUAGCGUACCUACUAGCCUACGACGGGUACGGGUUGUGAGAGCAAGAGCCCGGAGAUGGAUUCUGAGACACGAAUCCAGGCCCUACGGGGUGCAGCAGGCGCGAAAACUUUACAAUGCUGGCAACAGCGAUAAGGGAACCUCGAGUGCCAGGUUACAAAUCUGGCUGUCGAGAUGCCUAAAAAGCAUUUCAUAGCAAGGGCCGGGCAAGACCGGUGCCAGCCGCCGCGGUAACACCGGCGGCUCGAGUGGUAACCGUUAUUAUUGGGUCUAAAGGGUCUGUAGCCGGCCGGAUAAGUCUCUUGAGAAAUCUGGCAGCUUAACUGUCAGGCUUUCAGGAGAUACUGUCUGGCUCGAGGCCGGGAGAGGUGAGAGGUACUUCAGGGGUAGGGGUGAAAUCUUGUAAUCCUUGAAGGACCACCAGUGGCGAAGGCGUCUCACCAGAACGGACCUGACGGCAAGGGACGAAAGCUAGGGGCACGAACCGGAUUAGAUACCCGGGUAGUCCUAGCCGUAAACGAUACUCGCUAGGUGUCGGCCACGGUGCGACCGUUGUCGGUGCCGUAGGGAAGCCGUGAAGCGAGCCACCUGGGAAGUACGGCCGCAAGGCUGAAACUUAAAGGAAUUGGCGGGGGAGCACCACAACGGGGUGGAGCUUGCGGUUUAAUUGGAUUCAACGCCGGAAAUCUUACCGGGACCGACAGCAUAUGAAGGCCAGGCUGAAGACUUUGCCGGAUUAGCUGAGAGGAGGUGCAU